This is a long non-coding RNA of Pyrgilauda ruficollis (rufous-necked snowfinch), 840 nucleotides long. RefSeq lists it as uncharacterized. The record is from RefSeq and is a predicted model, not a curated record. NCBI's taxonomy places the organism in Eukaryota, Metazoa, Chordata, Aves, Passeriformes, Passeridae. The transcript is spliced from 3 exons.
UCCUUGUGGGGCCACAGUGCCCAGAGUGCAAAUCGCACAGCUGUGGCGCUGCUGCUGCCAGGCAUUCGUAGUCUCCUAUUACUUCUGGGGCCUGAAUUGCCUCCAGAAAUCAAGGAUUGUUCCCAAAUGUCAUCCCCUGGCUCUGGAACUCGGUGAACUUGUGUUCCCCAAAGUCCAGGACAGGAAGAACCAUUAAGUGGGCCCAGUGAUGUCAGAAGCUUUGGUGUUUGAGGAGCUGAAGCCAAGAGGCUCUGGCCCUGGAGGUCUGCAGUGGAGGGCCCCUGGUCCUGCCCACACUGCAGGGAGGCUAUUACUUGAGAAGCACUUAUGGAGCACUUUUGCUGCUCAAGAAAUUCCAGGAAGAACAAGCUGCCCAGCUGUCAGUGCCCCAGGAAAGCUGAGACCCUUGUGCCUGACCAAUCUGUCAGUGUCCUGUUAGAGGGACCCUUCGUUAAGUAGUCCUGCUGGAUUCGAGGGAAGUCAGACUGACAUUCAGGGAAAUAGGCCAAGAGCAUAAGGGAGACCCCUCAGCAGGUCUUCCCACUUCAUGAUCCCUCAGCUGGACUUCCUAUUUGAAUAUGUUACCUGCUGCUGGCAACUGCUAGCAUCCAUGAAGGAGUCACACUUUGGAACUUUAUGGAACAGUUUAUGGAACUAUACUCUUUAUAAAUAUAAAAUUAUGACAGGUUAAUGUUCAGGGAUUGUUGGUGAUUGUAUCUGUCAGUGAUAGUAUUUCUGCAAAAACUCAUUCAAAGGAAUAUACAGACAAGGUGUAGUCCCCAGUAAAAAUAUUCAGCAGGCAGAGUGCAUUUCUAACCCAACAGGCAUUCCUAUGGGGGA